GUUUUCAGUGUUUCAAUAAAUACAAUUCGUAGUACUAUUCAAAAAAGGCCGAAUGAAAUAACAGUGGUCUCUCCAAGUUAAAAAUACAUGGUGAAUUUUAAAAAUUGAAAAAUCAAAGGGAUAAAUGAUUUCUUCCACCCUUACCCAACAUCGUGUGCAUACCUGACACUCAAUCGAUUUCAACAGAACCAAAACCAUCUCCCCACUCCGCUCCUUCAAGUACAGAAUUAUUCAAGAAGCUGUCGAAAUAACGAAACGUUCAAACUGUCUGAUCACAUGGGGCAAUAGCCAGAGAUUACCCACUUGGAAACACCACCCCAAAACCCGCCAAUAGGUCCCCUAUAAUUACUAGGUCCAGGCGACUAGCCCACCAGAUAUCUCAAGACCAGCAGUGAUUGUUUUUUCAUUUCCACAGUGAAAUUCCAAAGAGUAGGCAGAUUGAGGCCUUGGAAUCAAUCAAGAAAGGGGGUGAUUCGUUGUGUGGAUGAUUCAGAUUGGGAUCACGGAAUCGGAUCACUUCUUACCAAUAAACGAAUAACCUCCCUAUCCCCACCCUUCUCUUCAUAAUUCCCUCGAAGCGGGAGCCGAAACGUCGAAAAUUUUCAAAAUUCCAACCCGAUUCAACUCGUGAACCUAAUUUCGUUCAUAAUCCUGACCGCGGAAACCUUUCAAGAACUUAUAACUUUUUUCAUUGAUUAAUUUAUUUAGAAAUAUUUCUCUUGAAUAUCUGUUUAAGUCUGGAGAUGUCUUAUUAUUUUAAUCCAACUGACUAGUUCAUCAACUCAUUAUAUAAAUAAUCAAAAUAUUAUUAAAAUUACUUUAUUGUGUUUUUUGCUCAUAUCUGUUUUAACAACUACAUCUCAUUAAAGUAAUGCCUUGUAAAAGAUGUGCACAAAAAUAUUAAAAUUGAUAAUAAUAAUAAA
This is a long non-coding RNA of Diorhabda sublineata, 923 nucleotides long. RefSeq lists it as uncharacterized. Lineage: Eukaryota; Metazoa; Arthropoda; Insecta; Coleoptera; Chrysomelidae. The record is from RefSeq and is a predicted model, not a curated record. The transcript is spliced from 3 exons.